RNAcentral lists this ribosomal RNA (253 nucleotides) under uncultured bacterium. RNAcentral describes it as "partial 16S ribosomal RNA". It matches the Rfam family "Bacterial small subunit ribosomal RNA", at positions 524 to 776 of the family's 1533-position model. The record is from RNAcentral.
UACGUAGGUUGCAAGCGUUGUCCGGAAUUAUUGGGCGUAAAGAGCGUGUAGGCGGCCAUACAGGUCAGCUGUGAAAACUCGAGGCUCAACCUCGAGACGUCGGUUGAAACCGUAUGGCUAGAGUCCGGAAGAGGAGAGUGGAAUUCCCGGUGUAGCGGUGAAAUGCGCAGAUAUCGGGAAGAACACCCGUGGCGAAGGCGGCUCUCUGGGACGGUACUGACGCUGAGACGCGAAAGCGUGGGGAGCGAACAGG